This 241-nucleotide ribosomal RNA is filed under the name uncultured bacterium. Its description in RNAcentral is "partial 16S ribosomal RNA". It matches the Rfam family "Bacterial small subunit ribosomal RNA", at positions 95 to 334 of the family's 1533-position model. The record is from RNAcentral.
UUGGCGAACGGGUGAGUAACGCGUGAGUAACCUGCCCUGGAGUGGGGGACAACAGUUGGAAACGACUGCUAAUACCGCAUAAGCCCACGAUCCGGCAUCGGAUUGAGGGAAAAGGAUUUAUUCGCUUCAGGAUGGACUCGCGUCCAAUUAGCUGGUUGGUGAGGUAACGGCCCACCAAGGCGACGAUUGGUAGCCGGACUGAGAGGUUGAACGGCCACAUUGGGACUGAGACACGGCCCAG